RNAcentral lists this ribosomal RNA (236 nucleotides) under uncultured bacterium. RNAcentral describes it as "partial 16S ribosomal RNA". It matches the Rfam family "Bacterial small subunit ribosomal RNA", at positions 100 to 334 of the family's 1533-position model. The record is from RNAcentral.
CGGAACGGGUGAGUAACGCGUGGGUAACCUGCCUCAUACAGGGGGAUAACAGUUAGAAAUGGCUGCUAAUACCGCAUAAGACCACAGUACUGCAUGGUACAGUGGUAAAAACUCCGGUGGUAUGAGAUGGACCCGCGUCUGAUUAGGUAGUUGGUGAGGUAACGGCCCACCAAGCCGACGAUCAGUAGCCGACCUGAGAGGGUGACCGGCCACAUUGGGACUGAGACACGGCCCAG